RNAcentral lists this ribosomal RNA (548 nucleotides) under Ligilactobacillus salivarius. RNAcentral describes it as "bacterial SSU rRNA". It matches the Rfam family "Bacterial small subunit ribosomal RNA", at positions 1 to 522 of the family's 1533-position model. The record is from RNAcentral. Lineage: Bacteria; Bacillati; Bacillota; Bacilli; Lactobacillales; Lactobacillaceae.
UGGAGAGUUUGAUCCUGGCUCAGGACGAACGCUGGCGGCGUGCCUAAUACAUGCAAGUCGAACGAAACUUUCUUACACCGAAUGCUUGCAUUCACCGUAAGAAGUUGAGUGGCGGACGGGUGAGUAACACGUGGGUAACCUGCCUAAAAGAAGGGGAUAACACUUGGAAACAGGUGCUAAUACCGUAUAUCUCUAAGGAUCGCAUGAUCCUUAGAUGAAAGAUGGUUCUGCUAUCGCUUUUAGAUGGACCCGCGGCGUAUUAACUAGUUGGUGGGGUAACGGCCUACCAAGGUGAUGAUACGUAGCCGAACUGAGAGGUUGAUCGGCCACAUUGGGACUGAGACACGGCCCAAACUCCUACGGGAGGCAGCAGUAGGGAAUCUUCCACAAUGGACGCAAGUCUGAUGGAGCAACGCCGCGUGAGUGAAGAAGGUCUUCGGAUCGUAAAACUCUGUUGUUAGAGAAGAACACGAGUGAGAGUAACUGUUCAUUCGAUGACGGUAUCUAACCAGCAAGUCACGGCUAACUACGUGCCAGCAGCCGCGGUA